GUACUGAAAGGAAGAGGGAGGGGAAAUAUCUGCCCCUAUCGUGGGUGGAAGCCCAGGAGCACAUUCCUUGACACCCCUUGGGGUUUCUUGGGCACCCUGUACAGGACCUAUGAUUAGAGAGUGACAGUCCCAAGAGAAAGGAUGCGCGGACAGGUUGCUAUGGCAACCGGGUGGCUGGUCCAGCACAGUGGUGGAAGCUAACGGGAAGAGAUGGGGGUUUAAGGGUGGGAGCUGAUGGAUCUGCAGCCACUGAGGUUCUGGAAGACUUCAGCACCCUGAGUUCCCGAAGAAACAGACCCGUUUUUCUAUGGUGAGUGUUGGAUCUUGUGCUGGGGAUGCCCUAGGGCUGGAAUGGAAGGGUAGUUUCAGCUGGGACUACAGGACACUGGCUCACCAAAGGGGUAUGUGGAAGGUACAGCCUGAUUGGGGGAGGGAGGUGGUCUCCUACCCCCUCCAGCCCCUGAUGGAGGCUGUGAGCCUUGUAAAGCCUGUUUUCUCUUGGGUUCAGGGUAGAGAUUAACUGGGGUUGGCAAGCACCAGCCUUAGGCUCCCUCUUUGGAGACUAGGAAGAGACUGGGAAGGAAAAAUGCAUUCAUUAUAUCAGUGCUAGACAAACUACAUCAGUCAGAGGAGGCUGCUGCCUGCCUCAAUAGCAACUAAUACUCAACGCCUCCAAGGAUUCUGACCAGGACUAUGGCUCAUACACUGAAUUAAUCAAAGCAGCAGCUUGGGAAGAGUCAUAAAACGACUCUGAGAUUUGAAUCUUAAUUUAUCCACUUCCUAGCUGUGUGGCCUAGGGCAAACAACUUUACCUCUCUGGGCCCUCCUAUAAAUAAGGUAUAGUAAUGGUUCCCACCUAUGAGGACUACGGAAAGAGUUUCUGUAAUGAUGCCUUUCUCUCAUGCCUAAGACACGGAAGCCUUGGGUCUGGCAGACUGGAAGCUAGCCUGAAUUCCCCCCAUUUUCUGUCCUUACUCAUGAAUACAGACCCUCUCAUAGGCCAAGGUCCUUACUACCUCAGGGCCUUUGGACUUACUCUUCCUUCUACCAGAAACAUGAUUCCUCACCCCCAGCUCUCCACACAGUGAGCUAAGGCUCCUCUCCUUGCUGGCCUCGGAUCAGAUAUUGACUGAUUUGCUAGGAGGCUGUCCCUGAGUCCCCAGCCAAAGCAGCCACACCACACCCUGCCGUGACUUGGGGAUUUGUGUGUGUGGUUUUGUUUUUGUUAGCAUUUUUUGUUUGUUGAUGAAUGCUUGAUCACAGCAUCAGAGCUAGCUGCUGAAGGGCAGAUGCAGGCUGUACACAGUAGGCGCUCCACGGUCCCCUCCCUGUGACGCCUGUGUGUGCUGGAUGCUAGGCCCCACACCUGGCUCUAGAGACAUCAUGGGGAGGUUUCUAGACCAGCCUUUCUGUCCUGACAGGCCUCAUACUCUCCUCCUAUUCAUCACACAUGUACAGCAAACAAGAAUAACUCUUCCCAGCAUUCAAGAGGCUGAGGCAGUGGGAUUGUGAGUUUGAGAUCAGUCUGCACUAUGUAGUAAGACCCAGUCUCAAAGCAAUAUGUUCUUAUGAAAAAAAAAAUAAGAAAGGGAAUGGGGCUAGAGAGAGCUGGGGCCAUGAGACUUUUACAUGGAGCAUUUCAGUUAAACUCACAGGUUGGUGAGGAAGUCAAGUGCAUGGAGCCUUCAGGCAGAGGAAGUGGCUCGUGCAAAGGUCCUGAGGCAGGGUGGCUGGCAUGCUUUAGGAUCAGGGGGUUUGUAUAGCUAUGCAGAGGACUGGUGAGAAGAGAAGGGUGUGUGAAGCCUUAGUAAGAUCAGGACUAGGUCAUCCACUGAAGAACUCUCAUUCAUUGUAUCAGUGCUAGAUGGACUCUGUCAGUCAGGUGAGGCUGCUGUCUGUCUCAAUAACAAACAGUACUCAGCAUCUCCACGGAUUAUGACCAGGGCUAAUGGGCUCAUGCACUGAAAUAAUCAGAAGUCAUUUCACGACUCUGAGGUUCAAAUCUUGAUUUAUCUUGGUUUUUGCUUGGAAUACUGUGGGGGCCAUUUGGGAGGCCUCUGCAGGCCCCUGAUCUGACUGGGAGUAAUAGAGUUCUUGUGGCUGUGGGAGGAAGAAUGGGGGCAGGGCAGCAAUACCAUAGAGAGAUCUGCCGGGAUAGUCUAGGCCCUGAUCAUGGAGGACAGAACCAAGAUGAGGACCCAGGAAGGGGCGAUUGAUGGGGCUUAGUGUCUCGUGUGAGAAUCCAGAAGGGCAGCAUUGGGAAGGAGGGUGGAGGGUAGAGAGGCACAGAGGUCUCAGACUGGCCCAGGCAAUCUGGGUCCUCCCCCAGUCCCUGGUGGAGUUGGGGGCUCAGCUGGCAGAUUUCUUGUCCUGUUGGGCCACUGACCUGAGGCUUGGGCUGGGCUGAGAGCCGCCCUGCCCUGAGGUCCCGCUGUCUCCCUCAGACUAUGCCACCGUACAGACUGUGGGGAUGACCCUGGCCAGUAUCAUGUUCGUGCUGGGGAUCAUCAUCAUCCUCAGCAAGAAGGUGAAGUGCAGGAAGGCGGACUCCAGGUCUGAGAGCCCAACAUGCAAAUCCUGUAAGUCGGAACUGCCCUCCUCAGCACCUGGAGGUGGCGGCGUGUAGGACCCUCUACAGAUCUCCACUGCUGUCCCUGGC
RNA transcript from Peromyscus eremicus (cactus mouse), 2659 nucleotides. It is a transcript of the gene named FXYD domain containing ion transport regulator 7, with no coding region annotated. NCBI's taxonomy places the organism in Eukaryota, Metazoa, Chordata, Mammalia, Rodentia, Cricetidae. The record is from RefSeq and is a predicted model, not a curated record. The transcript is spliced from 5 exons.